ACUAAAAGUUAUUAUGCUCGUUCAGGGGCUCCUCAGACUAAGACACGUCUAAGAGCUCUGCUCUCUCAGUCAACAUUCACGGGGGAGACAUCUCCCGUCACGCAGGGUGCAGUCGCACCUCCACAGAUCUCCAGUAUCAGCUCUUGAUACUGGUAAUGGCUCAAAAGGGCCACCACUUACGGGCUAUUCAUGCCCGUGCCACCUUUUGGGUGGCUUAAUCUUCAUCAAUCAAUCAGUCAACAUUCAUCCAUCAUCCUGUUCGCUAGUUCCCCUCAGCCUGUUCACAUCUCCCAUCAAUAUGGCUCUUUGCCCCUUGUGUUUCUAGCCACUUAACAACGAAAUAGGGCAUGCAUGUGAAACGAAUUGCGUUUCAUGCGCAAAGAAAAUGUCCAUCAACCCCUUACGAGAAUAUCGCUUAUAUUGUAUACAGUGCAACGGACCUACAUAACCAGGACAUUCCGACGUUACCUGCGCUAGCGGCGGGCAAUUGUAUUUUGCAAAUCAAAUGUGGAUGCGAAAAAUCAAGUGUUCCCUCCCCCGAGUAUGAUGAGGCGGAUCAAGGUGGGAGAUGAAGGGUCGUCUACCUGGAUAUCAUAUUAAAAGAUGAGGACUAAACAAGACGGAUAUUAUACAAGUGGAUUAAAGAGCGACCUUCGUUUAACAUCAGGAUAAAUGACUCGUUUAUUAUAACUUAUUUAUAACUUGUGUAAACUGAAAUUAGAUGAAUAAAUAAAAAUAUAAAUAAAUAAAUACGUUUCAUUAGUCCUUAUUGAAUAUAUAAAUUAUUACGGUGGUAAACGCUGGCAAUGACUGAAGGACGGCGGACAGGUAGUGUAAUGUCAGGUGUUGAAUGCCUCGAGGCAACUUAAUAAGUCAGGUGUUGAAGGCUUGUGGGACAUAUUGAGAUGUCUCGCUUGGUUUGUGUAAAACAGACCUGAUAUAUAGUUUUGGUGUAAAGGAACUAACAUUACGAUGUCUAAAAUAUAAAUGGCUGUACGGAAAUAUGAACGAUGAAAGACAAGGUAAGGUCGGAAACGGGUAGGGUGGUGUCUUUCAAGUAGAAAGACAGUACCUGUUA
This is a non-coding RNA of Procambarus clarkii (red swamp crayfish), 1078 nucleotides long. The record is from RefSeq and is a predicted model, not a curated record. NCBI's taxonomy places the organism in Eukaryota, Metazoa, Arthropoda, Malacostraca, Decapoda, Cambaridae.